UAUUGGUCAAUGGACGCAAGUCUGAACCAGCCAUGCCGCGUGAAGGAUUAAGGCCCUCUGGGUUGUAAACUUCUUUUAUAGGGGAAGAAAUGUGACGGUUCUCCGUCACUUGACGGUACCCUGGGAAUAAGCACCGGCUAACUCCGUGCCAGCAGCCGCGGUAAUACGGAGGGUGCAAGCGUUAUCCGGAUUCACUGGGUUUAAAGGGUGCGUAGGUGGGUAUGUAAGUCAGUGGUGAAAUCCCCGAGCUUAACUUGGGAAAUGCCGUUGAUACUAUAUAUCUUGAACGUCGGAGAGGUAAGCGGAAUACGUCAUGUAGCGGUGAAAUGCUUAGCGAUGACAUAGACCACCAAGUGCGAAGGCAGCUUGCUAUGCUAUUAUUGACACUGAGGCACGAAAGCGUGUGUAGCAAACA
RNAcentral lists this ribosomal RNA (415 nucleotides) under uncultured bacterium. RNAcentral's name for it is "bacterial SSU rRNA". It matches the Rfam family "Bacterial small subunit ribosomal RNA", at positions 362 to 774 of the family's 1533-position model. The record is from RNAcentral.